Tripterygium wilfordii is the source of this 563-nucleotide long non-coding RNA. RefSeq lists it as uncharacterized. Lineage: Eukaryota; Viridiplantae; Streptophyta; Magnoliopsida; Celastrales; Celastraceae. The transcript is spliced from 4 exons. The record is from RefSeq and is a predicted model, not a curated record.
UUGACAGAGAGAACGCCGAGAGAGAGAGAGAGAAAUAGAGAGAGAAGAAGUAUUUCGGUGUGAAUCAAGGAGAAAGGAGCUUGAAUUGAAGCUUUUGGAUUUUCUAAAGCUUGGAUUUGCAAGAUCUUUACAAGAUUGAGAUUUGAGCUUGGAUUGAAGUGUGGAGGUAGGAGGAGAAGGGAUGGAGCAAGGGUUUGAAGAAUUGACUAAGGUUAUUUGAACUUGGAGAAGUGGUUGCUAGAGUUGUGGUGAGGUUUUUGCUCAAACGAGGUGAUAUAAGUACUAGCGCUAGUGCUCCGACUACGGAUCAGCAGGGAGGAGCGUGACGCGGAUGGCCUGGACUUGUGGUGGUUUGUUGUGUUAUUUUUGUGUGAUGUUUGAUUAGUCUUUGGCUUAAUUGUAUUUUGGGAUAUAUACGUAAAAUGUGGGAUGAAUGAUGAUUUUGGAUGGUUAGGCUUGAUGCCUUGGUAUGUAUGUGUGUAUGAUGAUUUAUGUUUGGGAUGAUCUGGCCUGAGGCCCUGGAUAUUUAGUUGGUGGUAUGAAAAUUGUUGGUUUAAUUGCUA